AACGAACGCUGGCGGCAGGCCUAACACAUGCAAGUCGAGCGGACCCUUCGGGGUUAGCGGCGGACGGGUGAGUAACGCGUGGGAAUAUGCCCUUCUCUACGGAAUAGUCCUGGGAAACUGGGGGUAAUACCGUAUACGCCCUUUGGGGGAAAGAUUUAUCGGGGAAGGAUUAGCCCGCGUUGGAUUAGGUAGUUGGUGGGGUAAUGGCCUACCAAGCCGACGAUCCAUAGCUGGUUUGAGAGGAUGAUCAGCCACACUGGGACUGAGACACGGCCCAGACUCCUACGGGAGGCAGCAGUGGGGAAUCUUAGACAAUGGGGGCAACCCUGAUCUAGCCAUGCCGCGUGAGUGAUGAAGGCCUUAGGGUUGUAAAGCUCUUUAAGCUGGGAAGAUAAUGACGGUACCAACAGAAGAAGCCCCGGCUAACUCCGUG
RNAcentral lists this ribosomal RNA (433 nucleotides) under uncultured bacterium. RNAcentral's name for it is "partial 16S ribosomal RNA". It matches the Rfam family "Bacterial small subunit ribosomal RNA", at positions 29 to 507 of the family's 1533-position model. The record is from RNAcentral.